This 530-nucleotide ribosomal RNA is filed under the name Bacillus subtilis. RNAcentral's name for it is "bacterial SSU rRNA". It matches the Rfam family "Bacterial small subunit ribosomal RNA", at positions 134 to 649 of the family's 1533-position model. The record is from RNAcentral. Lineage: Bacteria; Bacillati; Bacillota; Bacilli; Caryophanales; Bacillaceae.
AAGACUGGGAUAACUCCGGSAAACCGGGGCUAAUACCGGAUGCUUGUUUGAAYCGCAUGGUUCAGACAUAAAAGGUGGCUUCGGCUACCACUUACAGAUGGACCCGCGGCGCAUUAGCUAGUUGGUGAGGUAACGGCUCACCAAGGCGACGAUGCGUAGCCGACCUGAGAGGGUGAUCGGCCACACUGGGACUGAGACACGGCCCAGACUCCUACGGGAGGCAGCAGUAGGGAAUCUUCCGCAAUGGACGAAAGUCUGACGGAGCAACGCCGCGUGAGUGAUGAAGGUUUUCGGAUYGUAAAGCUCUGUUGUUAGGGAAGAACAAGUGCCGUUCAAAUAGGGCGGCACCUUGACGGUACCUAACCAGAAAGCCACGGCUAACUACGUGCCAGCAGCCGCGGUAAUACGUAGGUGGCAAGCGUUGUCCGGAAUUAUUGGGCGUAAAGGGCUCGCAGGCGGUUUCUUAAGUCUGAUGUGAAAGCCCCCGGCUCAACCGGGGAGGGUCAUUGGAAACUGGGGAACUUGAGUGC